Zea mays is the source of this 283-nucleotide long non-coding RNA. RefSeq lists it as uncharacterized. The record is from RefSeq and is a predicted model, not a curated record. The transcript has 3 exons. Lineage: Eukaryota; Viridiplantae; Streptophyta; Magnoliopsida; Poales; Poaceae.
UAUAGCACAAAAUGGAUACUAUGUAGCCUAUGAUGGCUGGGGAAACAGGGAAGAGUGUGCGGCAGUGCGUGGGCGCGCAGGCGAGCGAAUGUGUGGUGCUGCAGGAGUUGAAGUUGCAGUCCUUCAUCAGAUAGACUUCUUGCACAGUGAGAGAUCUGCAGCAUGCUGGUGGAUUUCAAAGAGACCGGAGAAAGCUUCAUGUCGCUUCUAGACGAAUGAUGGAAUGAGCAGCGAAGGUUACUGAAGAAAACCUCGCAACACUAUUUAUAAAUUGCGGUCAGGU